This 672-nucleotide ribosomal RNA is filed under the name Enterobacter roggenkampii. RNAcentral's name for it is "partial 23S ribosomal RNA". It matches the Rfam family "Bacterial large subunit ribosomal RNA", at positions 2259 to 2925 of the family's 2925-position model. The record is from RNAcentral. Lineage: Bacteria; Pseudomonadati; Pseudomonadota; Gammaproteobacteria; Enterobacterales; Enterobacteriaceae.
UGGUGGGUAGUUUGACUGGGGCGGUCUCCUCCCAAAGAGUAACGGAGGAGCACGAAGGUUAGCUAAUCCUGGUCGGACAUCAGGAGGUUAGUGCAAUGGCAUAAGCUAGCUUGACUGCGAGAGUGACGGCUCGAGCAGGUGCGAAAGCAGGUCAUAGUGAUCCGGUGGUUCUGAAUGGAAGGGCCAUCGCUCAACGGAUAAAAGGUACUCCGGGGAUAACAGGCUGAUACCGCCCAAGAGUUCAUAUCGACGGCGGUGUUUGGCACCUCGAUGUCGGCUCAUCACAUCCUGGGGCUGAAGUAGGUCCCAAGGGUAUGGCUGUUCGCCAUUUAAAGUGGUACGCGAGCUGGGUUUAGAACGUCGUGAGACAGUUCGGUCCCUAUCUGCCGUGGGCGCUGGAGAAUUGAGGGGGGCUGCUCCUAGUACGAGAGGACCGGAGUGGACGCAUCACUGGUGUUCGGGUUGUCAUGCCAAUGGCACUGCCCGGUAGCUAAAUGCGGAAAAGAUAAGUGCUGAAAGCAUCUAAGCACGAAACUUGCCCCGAGAUGAGUUCUCCCUGAGACUUUAAGUCUCCUGAAGGAACGUUGAAGACGACGACGUUGAUAGGUCGGGUGUGUAAGCGCAGCGAUGCGUUGAGCUAACCGAUACUAAUGAACCGUGAGGCUUAACCUU